GCAUAUCAAUAAGCGGAGGAAAAGAAACCAACAGGGAUUGCCCUAGUAACGGCGUAAGUGAAGCGGCAACAGCUCAAAUUUGAAAUCUGGCGUCUUUGGCGUCCGAAGUUGUAAUUUGCAGAGGGCGCUUUGGCAUUGGGCAGCGGUCCAAGUUCCUUGGAACAGGACGUCACAGAGGGUGAGAAUCCCGUACGUGGUCGCUAGCCUUUACCGUGUAAAGCCCCUUCGACGAGUCGAGUUGUUUGGGAAUGCAGCUCUAAAUGGGAGGUAAAUUUCUUCUAAAGCUAAAUACUGGCCAGAGACCGAUAGCGCACAAGUAGAGUGAUCGAAAGAUGAAAAGCACUUUGGAAAGAGAGUUAAAAAGCACGUGAAAUUGUUGAAAGGGAAGCGCUUGCAGCCAGACUUGCCUGUAGUUGCUCAUCCGGGUUUCUACCCGGUGCACUCUUCUAUAGGCAGGCCAGCAUCAGUUUGGGCGGUUGGAUAAAGGUCUCUGUCAUGUACCUCCUCUCGGGGAGAUCUUAUAGGGGAGACGACAUGCAACCAGCCUGGACUGAGGUCCGCGCAUCUGCUAGGAUGCUGGCGUAAUGGCUGUAAGCGGCCCGUCUUGAAACACGGACCAAGGAGUCUAACAUCUAUGCGAGUGUUUGGGUGUCAAGCCCGAGCGCGUAAUGAAAGUGAACGGAGGUGGGAACCUUUCGGGGUGCACCAUCGACCGAUCCUGAUGUCUUCGGAUGGAUUUGAGUAAGAGCAUAGCUGUUGGGACCCGAAAGAUGGUGAACUAUGCUUGAAUAGGGUGAAGCCAGAGGAAACUCUGGUGGAGGCUCGCAGCGGUUCUGACGUGCAAAUCGAUCGUCAAAUUUGGGCAUAGGGGCGAAAGACUAAUCGAACUAUCUAGUAGCUGGGUUCCUGCCGA
This 913-nucleotide ribosomal RNA is filed under the name Epicoccum andropogonis. RNAcentral's name for it is "LSU rRNA". It matches the Rfam family "Eukaryotic large subunit ribosomal RNA", at positions 38 to 964 of the family's 3401-position model. Lineage: Eukaryota; Fungi; Ascomycota; Dothideomycetes; Pleosporales; Didymellaceae. The record is from RNAcentral.